UUAAAACACAGAUCUAGAACCUCAGUCUCCAAAAAUUUCAAAGAAACGAAAUAAACAAUUUCUUCAAUGUUAUUCUCUGCUUUCAAAAUAAACAAAUGGCUUCGAGAAGGCUAGCAAAGUGCCGCUUUAAAAUCCUCGAAAACACUUGAACUCUCUGUCGCACAAUACGGUUGCCGGUUUUCUAGCUCUCGCCGUCAUUCUUCUUCCACAUGUUCUUUCUCUAAUUCUCUUUCUCGUCCUCCUAUUUUCCUCUCGUUUCCUCAGAACGGUGUCGUUUCUGCCGAGUUAUUGGCGAACGCUUUCACUCUUCUUCGCUCUUACGCUACAAGCGCCUUCCUGCUUCUUAUACCUUUUAUUACAUUCAAUGUAUAUACGUAUUGAUAUUGUAUUAAUUAGGCUAUUUUUUAAGCUAAUAUGUUAUUUAUAAGUAUCGUUUUGAGUUUUUUUUUAAAGCUUGUAUUAAGCUUUUUUUACUGCAAUUCAUAGUUCUGAGCUGAAUGUGUUGAGGUUGCCUCCAUCUGCACAUAACAGGUCACUUAAAACCGGGAGGUAUUGUCCGCUUUGAGCUUCCAUGGUCAUAUCGCGAGGGGGAGAGAUUUUGAGAUUGGCAUCAGCAGAAUGUAUUUGGAGAAAGCUAAUCCAACUGAGUACUCUGAGAUGGCAUGAGAGGGCGUCGCUGCUGCUGUUGAUGCCGCAAGAGUUAGCAGCACCAAGUGGUGGAAUCUAAACGUUUGAUGUGGGCCCUUUUGGGGCAAAGGACGGUUUAGCUCAAAGAAUAUUCACUAAGGCGGGGAUUGACAACACCUCAAUUUUGAAGGCUACAGACGAAGUUAUAUCCCAGCACCCAAAGGUUAUACACCAGGGGGCCUGUAUUAGGAUUGCAUCUUAGUUCACUACUGGAUAAUUCUCGAACGUAUAAAAAAGAUAUGGGAAAUGAUUUUGUGUCUGUUGAGCAUCUUUUGUUAACAUUUUAUUCUGAUAAGAGGUUUGGGCAAAACAAUUAUUCAAGAACCUUUAGCUUAACAAGAAGGACUUGAAGGAGGCCAUCAAAGCUAUUUGUGAAAAUGACAGAGUAACAGUCUAACAGAUCAAAAUCCUGAAGGAAAAUAUGAGGCACUGGACAAAUAUUGGAAUGAUUUGACAGAGCUUGCUAGGCGGGGCAAACAUGAUCGGGUUACGUGUUGAGAUGAUGAAAUUUAGAGGUGUAUGCAGAUAUUAUCUCAAAGAACCAUAAAUAAUCCUAUUAUUAUUGGCAAGCCUGGUGCUGAGGGAUUACCUCAACAUACUGUGAGAGGGGACGUUCCAGAACCAUUGUUGAACAGAAAGACAAGUAUGCAAAUCCAAGCACCCAGAACAUCCCAAAACUUGGUGCAUAUGCAUUUGUCACAUGGUAGAAAGGUAAAGCUCUUUACUCUUUGAUGAUAUAGUACAUUAUCCAUUUAAUAAAUGGUAAUAAUUUAUGUACUCACAGAUGGGUAUUAACAAAUUAAUAUGUUAUCAUAUAAUUAGAUGAUUUUAAAUUAAAAUAAAUAAUUAAAUCACCCAAUCAUGACACGUUAUCUAUUGGUACUCAUUCAUUAGUACUUAUUGUAAUACUCUUCUAUAAAGUUCUAACAAGAGAUGUCUGACUUUGUAAAAUGAGAAUGCCCUUUUCUCCUAAUUACUAUUAUUAUUCAUAAUUUUAAUUGUAACACCUCUAGGCAAUACUUACAUCAAUGAAACAUGAUAGACUUAUUAGGUAUGUAUAAAUAUUUCAUAUCGUCUAGGAAUAAUAAGAGAAGAUUGGCAAAGCAAUAUUGGUUAAAUAGUUAAAUGAACUCUUAAGUUGUUUUACAUGUUUUGAGUUAUGAUAAAGGGUCCUUGACCCAAAACCUAAGCUAACACGACAUGGAUACGAUCUAAUGUUAACCCAAAACUUAAAUUAACAUAAUAUAAAUACGAUUUGAUGAUAUUAACUGACAAAUCUAAACCAAACUCAAUAUUAAUGGUUUAAUAUUAGUUUGAAUUUGGUUGGGUGAAGAAAGCAAUUGAGACGAACUGCCAGGGUUGAGCCAAACUCUAUGUUAAUGGGUUAAUGAUAGUUUGAAUUUGGCUAGGUGAAGAAAGCGGUUGACACGAAAAUCAUUUAUUGGAAUUAAGCUUCUUAGCUGGAGCGAAACUGGGUGUGGCUCAUUAUCCUCCCAACCUAAGUCUAACUAAUUAUUGAAUUCUUUUAAACUUUAGAAAAAGGCAUUCAACAAAUUUGUGAGAGGGACAUAAAUAAUGUGCCUUAAUUUUUUGUAUUGAGUUUAAAAAUAAAUAAUGGAUAUGGAGACCAAGAAACAAGCUGACAAAUUAUAGAAUUAUUAACAUUUUCUCACCCAGUGCAUUUAGUAUAAAUCACAUUGUUAUAUAACAUAAAGUUAACUUUAAAUUCAACUGUAAAAGAGCAUUAUAGUUAUUUUUAUUUAAUAGAAUUAAAAAUUAACCUUUUGUUUUAUUGUCCUUUUUCGUUUCUCUCUAUCCAUGUUCCACCUAUUUUCAUUAACCAAUCUUUCUCUCCCCAUCUUUACAACCAACCUCUCCCCAUUACGAAUUUUACUUGCCUUGCCUUAAGCUAUUGGAUAUGUUAAAAGGCGAUUAAAGAUGCAAACCAUAAAAUCAUUGUCUAAUUCUUACUAGCUUCCUUCAUUGUGUUCUGCAAAAUUUUCAAGCAAAUGAUAAAUAUAAAGGGCAUAGGGUUCGAUUUAAUUUGAAUUGAGUCCAAACAAGAUUUUGUUUGAUAUUAGUUAGAGAUUGGUGAACUAAGGGUUAAGCUCGAUUAAAAAGUUAUUUGAUUUUAGAUUUAACUCAAGUUAGCUGGAACUUGAAUGUUCAGAUCUAUUCAAAUUCAACUUAUUGUAUGAAAGUUAGCAUAAUUUUCAGCUUGAGUUUGGUUUGUUUACUUUAAACUCAAAUAAAUCAGAUUGAAUCUUGUCUUGAAUCGGUAACUUUAAAAUUUUUUGGAUACAAUAAUUUUAUAUAAACAUUAUCCAAUGUGUUUGAGGGCUAUUCAAAGUUGAUUAGACAAAAAGGUUUGUUGAAGAAAAAAAAUUGUUGGAACUCUUUUGGGCAAAAUAAUGUUAGUCUUGUAUAAUGUAAGUUCAAGUUUGAGGGAUGUCAAUGAUUUUUCUGUUUGAACUCUUUUUGCAAUAAUUCUUUUUCUUUGACGAUUCAUCUCCAUGUCUAAUAGUUUCUUUUUUUUUUUCGACGAUUCUUAUUUUCUCUUUGGGUGUAUUAUUGUCUUCUCCUACAUUAUUUUUCACCAUUUUAAUCCAUUCAAAUUUGAACCGAAAACAAGCUUUAAUUGUUUAUGCUUAACUUGAUUAAUUUUGAAUCCAUUUGUGCCAUUUGUGCAAACUUGACACAAAAAAUUAAAAUAUCAGUAAAUUACUAUUUCCCGUCCAAGGUUUGGGCAAAUAUGCAUUCCCACUUGAAUCUAAAAACCACAGACUGCCACCCAAAUUUCAACCUCACGAUCUUGCUGAAUUUGGCCAAUGCUCACGUGAUUAUAAAUUUAUUGUUUACUCAAAGUAAAUGUUUGAAAUAUUUGCACAAACAUGUUUUAUGAUGUAAUUGCUUUGCUUGUUGAAGAAUAUUGCAUUUCAAAUGCUUCAAUCAAAUUACAUUUUUGUGGGUUAAA
Long non-coding RNA from Mangifera indica (mango), 3661 nucleotides. RefSeq lists it as uncharacterized. The record is from RefSeq and is a predicted model, not a curated record. The transcript is spliced from 6 exons. Lineage: Eukaryota; Viridiplantae; Streptophyta; Magnoliopsida; Sapindales; Anacardiaceae.